Molecule: ribosomal RNA, 521 nt
Filed under: uncultured Flavobacterium sp.
Lineage: Bacteria; Pseudomonadati; Bacteroidota; Flavobacteriia; Flavobacteriales; Flavobacteriaceae
Description: bacterial SSU rRNA
Rfam family: Bacterial small subunit ribosomal RNA
Source: RNAcentral
GAGUUUGAUCGUGGCUCAGGAUGAACGCUAGCGGCAGGCUUAACACAUGCAAGUCGAGGGGUAGAAGUUGCUUGCAACUUUGAGACCGGCGCACGGGUGCGUAACGCGUAUGCAAUCUACCUUGUACAGGGGGAUAGCCCAGAGAAAUUUGGAUUAAUACCCCAUAGUGUAAUUGAAUGGCAUCAUUUAAUUACUAAAGUUCCAACGGUACAAGAUGAGCAUGCGUCCUAUUAGCUAGUUGGUGUGGUAACGGCAUACCAAGGCUACGAUAGGUAGGGGUCCUGAGAGGGAGAUCCCCCACACUGGUACUGAGACACGGACCAGACUCCUACGGGAGGCAGCAGUGAGGAAUAUUGGACAAUGGGCGCAAGCCUGAUCCAGCCAUGCCGCGUGCAGGAAGACGGUCCUAUGGAUUGUAAACUGCUUUUAUACGGGAAGAAACACUCCUACGUGUAGGAACUUGAACGGUACCGUAAGAAUAAGGAUCGGCUAACUCCGUGCCAGCCGCCGCCGUAACAACU